RNAcentral lists this long non-coding RNA (714 nucleotides) under Rattus norvegicus (Norway rat). RNAcentral's name for it is "long non-coding RNA NONRATT000485". The record is from RNAcentral. Lineage: Eukaryota; Metazoa; Chordata; Mammalia; Rodentia; Muridae.
AAGUUGUCUGUGUACAUGACCCUGUACACCCUCACCCACGUGGUGUUGCUCAUCUACGAGGCAGAAGUGAGUGUCCAAAGCUCCUGCCAGCCCCUCUCCUUCCUGCCCUGUCUACCGCCCCUCCCCACAGAGCGUCCUCUUUCUCGCCCUGAGUUUCUGCCUUUCCCAUCUGUCUCUCAGUGACUCCUCUCUCUUCACCAUUUCUGAGUAGCUUUCUUCCUCCUUGUCUCUCACUUGUCCCCAUGUCCAAGAGUCAGAGACCUAGUUCUGUUUAAGCUCCCCCACUUCCUAGAUGGCCAUUCCCACCCUCGCCCUGAGCUUGUUUCUGCUGGUGGGAAGUUAGGAGGAGCUUGGCCCUAUCUUCAGGACUCUGUUAGGGGCUUUCCACCUCUUGUAUGGGAUGAUAGUAGGGCUUCUCUCUGUGUCAGUGUGGAUGGAUGAGUUACGCAGGGUGUGAGUGAUAGCAUUUAGUCCCACAGUGGGCACAAAGUAGUUGUUGUGGGCUCCUUAUAUACCUAUUAUAAUUCUAGCCCCAUCCCUAGCGGUCCCACCACUUCUGGCCUGACCCUUUUCUCUGUUCCAGCCCUUGGUGCCUGAGGGUGGGGUCCAGGGUCAGAGGCCAGAGCUUUGACCACCCUUGUUUUGUGGGUCCAGUUCUUUGACCCAGGCCAGGUACUAUACACAUACGAGUCUCCGGCUGGUUAUGGACUCAUC